CUCUUCAGCUCCUGUGGUGACCUGGGAAUCUAUCUGUGAGGUGGAGGGCCUGUUAGCAAGACUCCAUAUCACUUUGCUGAGAGGUUUUUUUCCUUUUUUCCUUUUCACCCAGUAAAUUCCUCUCUAAUCACCCUUCAACAUGUCUGUGCACCCAAUCCUUCCUGGUCAUGUGACAAGAACUUGUUUUUUUCUACAUUUUUGGUGGCCUGUAUGGGGACAUGGGAAAAGUGUAGGGCAUGAGUUCCUGGCUGCCCCAUAAGGAAGGAAACUGCCAGAAGCCCUUUAGAAUGAAGAAAAGUGAGAAGAUUCUUGGAAAGUGGACUGAGCUUUUAACUCUGCAAGGGACCCUCAGCCCUCUUGGCAUACUGAAGUGAACACUCUGCAGCUAAGCACCACUGAAUCCAGCAGGACUUGAGACUUCAUCAUCUGCCAAAAAUGAGCUUUCCUAACAACAUGGGACCUAUUUGUCUAAAAAUAAACUGUCCUAGCCACAAGAGAUGAGACAAAACCCAAGACCACAGACUCAUUUUCUUCUAAAAUGCUCUGUCUGAAAGAUUUUAAGAAGAAAACGGGAGAGAAAUAUAAAAAGAAAAUAAAAACUUGGGACCCCAAUUCACUAUGCCAAAAGGGAAAAAAUUAAGCUGAAAGCUGAGUAAUGCAAGAAGCUGCCUUUCUUUUUGUUCCUAAGCAAAUAGCUACAGAUAAAAGGUUUAGUAUCUCCACAGGUAGCUACUCUAGGUUCACUUUAUCUUAUGUAAAGUGCUGAUUUGCAGAGCAUGAGAUGAAUACAUAGUUGACCCUUCCCCUAACCGCUCCUUUUCUCUUGCAAUAUGUGGAUUCAGUAAUGUGACCAUACCCUACCUCUUUCCCCUCCAGCCUGCUUUUCCCCAUUAAAUAUUGAAGCCCUCAAAAUAAUACUUGGAGAAAGGCAUAGACAUAUCACCCAGGUGGGUCCUUAACCUUUGCAAAAUAAACUUCUAAAUUGAUUGA
This is a long non-coding RNA of Homo sapiens (human), 990 nucleotides long. RefSeq lists it as uncharacterized. The transcript has 3 exons. The record is from RefSeq and is marked validated. Lineage: Eukaryota; Metazoa; Chordata; Mammalia; Primates; Hominidae.